Molecule: small nucleolar RNA, 133 nt
Organism: Zalophus californianus (California sea lion)
Lineage: Eukaryota; Metazoa; Chordata; Mammalia; Carnivora; Otariidae
Source: Ensembl
GUUGAGGUCUAUCCCGAUGGGGCUUUUUCUCUGUAGACCUACAUCGUUGGAAACGCCUCAUAGAGUAUAUGUGUGGUUUUCUUUAUUCACAGAACUAUGUGUUAGAUCUGUGGGAAAGAACUACAAGACAUUU